AUUGCGUGGCUUUUAAGUUUGUUAUAUCUAUGUCUGAUUGAUAAGGUAUCAAUACGAAAUCGUGACUAGUACCUUUCAUUAACUGAUAGUAUGUGAAUUGUAUAUGUUUAAUGUGUCGCGAUUGAAAGCAAAACAAAGUUAAAUGGAUGAACUAACAGAGUUGAAGCAACUCAGUGAUUCAGACGUGUUAUUUAAAGUGUGUUGUUCCGUGUGUGAAGAUGAUAGCGUUACUACUGAGGCACAGUACCAGUGUGUGAAAUGUGAGAAACAUUUCUGCGAGAGCUGCGUUGCAUUGCACAAUAAACUCCAUAAGAAUCAUUCAGUAUUGGCGAAAGAAAAUUCAUAUGACUGGACGGGAGGCAAGUUCCCCGACCAUACUUGAGAGCUAUGCGAGGAGCACAGUGCUGAGAAACUGACGAUGUUCUGUGAAGACCACACAAAGUUGCUCUGUCAACGGUGCCAUCUAGCCAGUCACAAGCAUUGUAAAAAUGUUGCUCUGAUAACAGAUAUGUCAUAUUAUCGCCAUGACAAUUUUGAAGACACUGCGGCAAAGCUUUUAACACUUCAAUAUAAAGAAGUGAAACUCCAGCUGCUGGAGCAGUAUUGAAUUUUCAUUAAAAACAAUUAGUUGGUCCUUUAUUUAAGGCAAGUGACCGAUUGCCCAAACAGUACAAAACAGCACAAUACAGCACAAUACAAACCAACAUAAACACAAAAUAUGAAUAAAGCUGGGGUCACCGCCUUGGAACGGUCAAUGCAAAGCAUCAAGACACGUUUCGCGAGCUGGCGACUGAAAAGGAACGCACUAUCUUGUUACAAAACGCCAACUAUGAACAACUGCUACAGAAACUCCUCGACUUUCGCCUCCAGGUCCACGUGAUAUUAGAUCGGCUUCAACAGACGACAUUAAAUGAAAUUGAAAUAUAUCGCGAAAACGUAUUGUCUUCUCUUCAGAAAGACAGGGACAAUUGCAAAGACUUUCAAUCAAAGUUGAAAGGCCUUCCAAAUGAUCUACUGUUAAACAAAAGGAGUGGACGUGAAUUCAUGUUUGUUGCGUUUAGAAAAUGCGAGGAGCAAAUAUCUAAGUCAGAAAAAUUGCUACAAGAGCUUUCCAGAAAUGAUUAUGUCGAUAUUAGUUUUUAUCCCAAUAAGAACAUUUUACAGUUUCUGUCUGUGUGUUCAAGGCUGGGAGAGGUCAGUGGUACAGGUGAGAACCAUGAAACCACACCAAAUCCGAACAACGGGGUGCAUCUACAGGACAGAGCUGAACACAAUGUCAAAAUGGACAACGAGUCGCUGCCUUGUAGCUUGUCUGGGAUAUGCGAUACAUCAAACUCUGAACUGAUGGUCACAGACUUUCACAAAAAGUGUGUAAAGCUUUUAGAUGAAGCAUACACCGUUAUUGAUGUCUUACACGUGCGCGCGAGUCCGUACUCGGUGUGUUCGUGUCUGCUAUAGAAGUGGCAGUAGCAAUAUGCGACCGGGUCUCUACAAACGAGAUAGCGUUCAUUAGAAAAGAUAAUGGGAAACUGAUAAAGGGCAGUGGUUUUAAAGUUGAACACUCGUGUUACGGCGUCGCACACCACCAGGGCGACAUUUUUGUCACUUCCGGUACCGCAGUGUACACAUAUACCGCUAAGGGGCGAUUGGUGAAGAAAUUGUAUGAGAACACAUUGGGAGAGUUCAAUGUUGUAGGAGUUGCAGUAAACCCAAACGGUAAUCGUAUCUUUGUGACGGACAUUACCAGUGGCAAGCUUCACACGUUGACUAGGGAAGGGUCUGUUACGGCCACGCUGCACGAUCCAAUGUUCAUCAAUAAGUUUCUAACGUGCAACGUGCACGUGACCGACGUAGGGCACGUGUAUGUGUUCGGUAAAGAAUCCAAUAGCCAGGUGAAUACAGACGGGAAGACAAUACUGAAGACGCACAACAUGGGCGUGUCCAACCCUGCGUCGGUCUUGUUGAUCAUGCGCGCGAGCAGGUUCCACGUCGGUGCAUGGAACAAUGACAAUAUUGUGGUCUUCAAGGCAAACGUGUUAUGCCCGUAAACAUUGAAGGAUAUGGUAUUAUACACAUAACAUGAUAAUAUUCAACAUCAUAUGCAUGCAUUAUUUAUCACGCCUCGUUGUUUUAAAGGAAUAAGACGCGAGCUAUCGAUUAAGGGGCAAAAACUAAAGAAUAUUGUUUGAAAGUCUGUCGAAGAUUUAUUCGGGUUGACAAACGGACUGGAAAUAUUGCUUGGUUAUCGACCGACUGUGAGUUAACGGCUGGACAGAUUAUUUUGAAGUUAACUUGUUUUGAAAGGUUGUCCAAUUGCCCAUAGGAGGAUCAAGGGAUGCUUUGGAUUAAAGCUAUUUUUGACAUUUUUGCGGCCCGCGAAGACAGGUCUAUGAUAAAUUCAAGUUAAUGACAUUGUUAUGAUUUCAAGAGAACGUUACUUCCACCUGUGAUUAAAAAAAGGAUAAAUGUCUCGUAUACCUUGAAAUAUUUAUUCUCUUAAAAUCCGGGCGCGAUGGUCAAAAGUAAUAUGAAUAAAAUAUCGCUGUGAAAAUUAGAUCCCAAACGGGCCCUUCUAAUAAACAAGACAUAUAAAUACCCGCGAUAACCUACCUGCGAAAAUGCAUUAUAUUACAAUUUGUUCGCUACUUCCGUCUCAUUUCCGGUUUUCAGCUUACACGAGGGAUUUCUCAAAACCGUAGGGGAAAGGUUACACUGCACUAAAGUAUAUGUUAGUGAAACAAAUGAAUUAACGAUAUAAUCCCCGCCGUAGGUGGAGGCAUAUAGUUUAAGCGUUUUUUGUGCGUCCGUCCAUCCGUCUUUCAGGAAUACUUUUGUAUUAUUUUAUUUGGCUGGAAUAAGGUGAUACUUACUUUCACGGGUAUGUGACUACAGGACAAAACAAAACAAUAUAAAACAUAAAUACAAUUUCGGUUACAUAUUAGCAGAUGUGUCACUAGGAUUUAUUGUUGGUCUCUUAAAGAAUCAACAAAAGCUAUGCAAGCAGACAAUGACCGAAUUAACACGUUGGCUGAGCUGUGGCUUGUUCAUUUAAACCCAGCAAAAAUAUGCAGAAAAUAAAACUUAUCGAUCAUCUUGCCUUUGGAAAUGCAAACAGUGUAACUUCAGAAGUCAAGUUAUACAAAUCCUUUAUACAAGUUAACAAUCUUUGACUGCAAUUGGCAUGGACAUAUUGAACACGUUAAAGUCAAAGCAACGAAAUACUACAUAGUAUGCGCCAACUUAAAUAAAUGAUUACCCAAUCCGAAAUAGUAUGCGCCAACUUAAAUAAAUGAUUACCUAAGCCUCCAAAACACGAUAAAUAGGAAAGUUGAAAGGGUUUUACUCUUGAAAACGCUAGGAGAAUCACCAAAAACAACCAUUUUGUGUUAGGUCAAUCUCCGUGAGGGACUUCCGAAUCUGAUUGGUGGAAUACUUGGCGUUUUAAUUGUGGUUAUAGAAAUCAGAGUGUUCUUUACCCAUAACUAUUGUCAAUGUUCUCCGAUUUUGAAUAAGACUGACCUAUCGGAAAACAAAAUGUCAUUAUAGAAAAUGUAUCUUUAGUAUGGAUCACAUGUAUAUUUCUCUCCCGUGUUUGAUUUGCAUGACUGAACAUUUAUUUGUAAUGGAAAAUAUCUGUAAAAUGCAUAUAUCUUUCAUUUGUAACGGU
Molecule: long non-coding RNA, 3667 nt
Organism: Dreissena polymorpha
Lineage: Eukaryota; Metazoa; Mollusca; Bivalvia; Myida; Dreissenidae
Exons: 3
Source: RefSeq, a predicted model, not a curated record